CUGCUGCCUUCCGUAGGAGUCUGGGCCGUGUCUCAGUCCCAAUGUGGCCGUCCGCCCUCUCAGGCCGGCUACCGAUCGUCGCCUUGGUGGGCCGCUGCCCCGCCAACCAGCUAAUCGGACGCGGACCCAUCGCAUGCCGGGAUUUCUCCCUUUUCCGCACCGCGCCAUGCGGCGCCGUGCGCAUAUGCGGUAUUAGCAGCUGUUUCCAGCUGGUAUCCCCCUGCAUGCGGCAGGUUGU
This 238-nucleotide ribosomal RNA is filed under the name uncultured bacterium. Its description in RNAcentral is "partial 16S ribosomal RNA". The record is from RNAcentral.